RNAcentral lists this long non-coding RNA (711 nucleotides) under Musa acuminata (dwarf banana). RNAcentral's name for it is "long non-coding RNA (MACU_LNC003639)". Lineage: Eukaryota; Viridiplantae; Streptophyta; Magnoliopsida; Zingiberales; Musaceae. The record is from RNAcentral.
GGGGGUUGGUAAGACCGGCUUCAGUUCUAUAAUUGGUGACGACUUGUGCUGUGCAGUGAACAAAGGUGCCAAGUCUGACCGCUCGCAGAUAUUCCAUUCAUUUUAUUUUCUUUCAUUUCCUGUAUUAAUUGGAAGGAAGGGAUCGUCUGCGCAUAUGAGUCUGCUACUUAGUAAGAUCACAGAGCAAAGUUUUAAUGCAGGCUUUUGUUCUCUUGGGAGAGUUCUGCCGGCCCGGUCGCCCUUCCAUCGUUCCAAACAAAUGCACGGCGGCAGUCGAAGUAGGUUUAACGUCGAUGGCUGGCAGGGCUUAGAUCAUCGACAACAACCACGGAACAAUGAUAUUAAGAUAAUGUUGCGGGAGAUUCGCCGUGGGUUUCAGGGCGUCGACUUUGCACGUCCGUGGAUGAACCAUGAGAACGGCAGCCGGAAACCACAAGUCAUUGUGGCUCCCCUGCACAUGGUUUUGUGCGUGAGACGGUGCUGAGGAACACACGGUGUCGUUGGAUCGAUGUUAUGCCACCUCCACUGUUCGGUGAUCACAACUUCACCUACCACUGGGGGGAUUACCUCUCCGCAGCCUCACAUCUCACGACCUUUCAUCGUUGGACGACUGCGAUGUGUCAGAUUUUUUCUUUCCAUUGUGAGUCGUGCCGGUUUUGACACCACACACCCCAUAAUUCAUUUUAAUUCGUAGUUGAUCUUAUGAUGCCG